This 1443-nucleotide ribosomal RNA is filed under the name uncultured organism. RNAcentral describes it as "16S ribosomal RNA". It matches the Rfam family "Bacterial small subunit ribosomal RNA". The record is from RNAcentral.
CAGGCUUAACACAUGCAAGUCGAGGGGCAGCAUGGUCUUAGCUUGCUAAGGCCGAUGGCGACCGGCGCACGGGUGAGUAACACGUAUCCAACCUGCCGUCUACUCUUGGACAGCCUUCUGAAAGGAAGAUUAAUACAAGAUGGCAUCAUGAGUCCGCAUGUUCACAUGAUUAAAGGUAUUCCGGUAGACGAUGGGGAUGCGUUCCAUUAGAUAGUAGGCGGGGUAACGGCCCACCUAGUCUUCGAUGGAUAGGGGUUCUGAGAGGAAGGUCCCCCACAUUGGAACUGAGACACGGUCCAAACUCCUACGGGAGGCAGCAGUGAGGAAUAUUGGUCAAUGGGCGAGAGCCUGAACCAGCCAAGUAGCGUGAAGGAUGACUGCCCUAUGGGUUGUAAACUUCUUUUAUAAAGGAAUAAAGUCGGGUAUGCAUACCCGUUUGCAUGUACUUUAUGAAUAAGGAUCGGCUAACUCCGUGCCAGCAGCCGCGGUAAUACGGAGGGUCCGAGCGUUAUCCGGAUUUAUUGGGUUUAAAGGGAGCGUAGAUGGAUGUUUAAGUCAGUUGUGAGAGUUUGCGGCUCAACCGUAAAAUUGCAGUUGAUACUGGAUAUCUUGAGUGCAGUUGAGGCAGGCGGAAUUCGUGGUGUAGCGGUGAAAUGCUUAGAUAUCACGAAGAACUCCGAUUGCGAAGGCAGCCUGCUAAGCUGCAACUGACAUUGAGGCUCGAAAGUGUGGGUAUCAAACAGGAUUAGAUACCCUGGUAGUCCACACGGUAAACGGUGAAUACUCGCUGUUUGCGAUAUACAGCAAGCGGCCAAGCGAAAGCGUUAAGUAUUCCACCUGGGGAGUACGCCGGCAACGGUGAAACUCAAAGGAAUUGACGGGGGCCCGCACAAGCGGAGGAACAUGUGGUUUAAUUCGAUGAUACGCGAGGAACCUUACCCGGGCUUAAAUUGCAGAUGAAUUACGGUGAAAGCCGUAAGCCGCAAGGCAUCUGUGAAGGUGCUGCAUGGUUGUCGUCAGCUCGUGCCGUGAGGUGUCGGCUUAAGUGCCAUAACGAGCGCAACCCUUGUUGUCAGUUACUAACAGGUUCCGCUGAGGACUCUGACAAGACUGCCAUCGUAAGAUGUGAGGAAGGUGGGGAUGACGCCAAAUCAGCACGGCCCUUACGUCCGGGGCUACACACGUGUUACAAUGGGGGGUACAGAGGGCCGCUACCACGCGAGUGGAUGCCAAUCCCAAAAACCUCUUUCAGUUCGGACUGGAGUCUGCAACCCGACUCCACGAAGCUGGAUUCGCUAGUAAUCGCGCAUCAGCCACGGCGCGGUGAAUACGUUCCCGGGCCUUGUACACACCGCCCGUCAAGCCAUGGGAGCCGGGGGUACCUGAAGUGCGUAACCGCGAGGAGCGCCCUAGGGUAAAACUGGUGACUGGGGCUAAGUCGUA